This 465-nucleotide ribosomal RNA is filed under the name Vreelandella stevensii. RNAcentral's name for it is "partial 16S ribosomal RNA". It matches the Rfam family "Bacterial small subunit ribosomal RNA", at positions 338 to 795 of the family's 1533-position model. Lineage: Bacteria; Pseudomonadati; Pseudomonadota; Gammaproteobacteria; Oceanospirillales; Halomonadaceae. The record is from RNAcentral.
CCUACGGGUCGCAGCAGUGGGGAAUAUUGGACAAUGGGCGAAAGCCUGAUCCAGCCAUGCCGCGUGUGUGAAGAAGGCCUUCGGGUUGUAAAGCACUUUCAGUGGGGAAGAAAGCCUUGGGGCUAAUACCCUCGAGGAAGGACAUCACCCACAGAAGAAGCACCGGCUAACUCCGUGCCAGCAGCCGCGGUAAUACGGAGGGUGCGAGCGUUAAUCGGAAUUACUGGGCGUAAAGCGCGCGUAGGCGGUCUGAUAAGCCGGUUGUGAAAGCCCCGGGCUCAACCUGGGAACGGCAUCCGGAACUGUCAGGCUAGAGUGCAGGAGAGGAAGGUAGAAUUCCCGGUGUAGCGGUGAAAUGCGUAGAGAUCGGGAGGAAUACCAGUGGCGAAGGCGGCCUUCUGGACCGACACUGACGCUGAGGUGCGAAAGCGUGGGUAGCAAACAGGAUUAGAUACCCUGGUAGUC